AGCUAGAAGGGAUCACCUUAGAGGCCAUCUAAUCCAAUCCUCUUAUUUUCUAGAUGAGGGAGAGGAUCUGUAGACAUCAGAAACGGAUUUCUAUUCCAGAGACUCUUUGAGAAGAAAGAGAACUAAAAAAUAAAGAAUUAAUAGCUAAGAAGACAACUCCUCUUUUGAAUAUCUUGAAAGAAGCAGAUUGAGAGAAGAAAGGAGAGAAGAAUGACUAAGGAGAGAGAUUGAAAGAUAAAGCUAAAGAAAUGAAGAAAGAAGAAAUGGAGAUAAGAAGAGAAGAAAAGAGAGGCCAUGCAUCUUGCUGAAGGUCACAGGCAUGAUAGGACCCUCAGAGACAGUCUCAGAGCCCUGUACCAUAUGGGAAAGAGAAUGAGCACUGGCAUCUGAGGAGGUGAUGGUGGCAGGACAGCUCCUUAUUCAAGAUCCAGGGUUCCUAGGUUGUGUCCUUUACUAAAUCUAACAAUAAGUAGGACUUAUGUUGGAAAACAAUGAGAAUGAGAGAGCUUUCAAUCAUCUUUUUUAAUCAUCACCUUUUCUCCCAUCCAUGUCCCUUUUGCCAUCUUGGCCACUCCUUUGGGAUCCAAAGGGAAAAGGAGAAGAAGAAACUAGAGAAAGAAGAAAGAGAAACUGAAGCUCAUAGAUGACUUGUCUGGGUGACGUGCCUAGUAAAUGACCGAGGUAGAAUUCACACCCAGGUCUUUCUGAUUCCAGAUAUAGAUCUCUAUCUUUCUGGCCACUCACCAAUCAAAUGAAAUAUAUUGGAAGAGAGAUGAAGAGAAGGACUGAACAAUAAGGAAUUUUGAAUUCUCUAGCUAUUUCUAGUAUGAUGCCCCAUGGGGCUAAUUUCCCUAGAACACUUCAAGGAUUCCCAUGGAAAAAUGGAUUUGGGGCAGGAGAAUCACAAAAUCAUAUACUUAAGAAUUGGAAGAGAGGCCAGCAUCCAGCUAAUCUAACUAUAGCAUAUCCAUGAUCACAUCCUAAGUAAGAGACUAUCCAGCCUCCAUUUGAAGACGUCCAAUGGGGAU
This 1028-nucleotide long non-coding RNA is filed under the name Monodelphis domestica (gray short-tailed opossum). RNAcentral describes it as "lncRNA (ENSMODG00000030407.2)". Lineage: Eukaryota; Metazoa; Chordata; Mammalia; Didelphimorphia; Didelphidae. The record is from RNAcentral.